This 301-nucleotide ribosomal RNA is filed under the name uncultured bacterium. RNAcentral describes it as "partial 16S ribosomal RNA". It matches the Rfam family "Bacterial small subunit ribosomal RNA", at positions 509 to 808 of the family's 1533-position model. The record is from RNAcentral.
CAGUAGCCACGGGAAUACGUAGGUGACAAGCGUUGUCCGGAAUUAUUGGGCGUAAAGGGCUCGCAGGCGGUUUCUUAAGUCUGAUGUGAAAGCCCCCGGCUCAACCGGGGAGGGUCAUUGGAGACUGGGAAACUUGAGUGCAGAAGAGGAGAGUGGAAUUCCACGUGUAGCGGUGAAAUGCGUAGAGAUGUGGAGGAACACCAGUGGCGAAGGCGACUCUCUGGUCUGUAACUGACGCUGAGGAGCGAAAGCGUGGGGAGCGAACAGGAUUAGAUCCCCUGUAGUCCCUGUCUCUUAUACA